GACGUAGGGGGCCAGCGUUGUUCGGAAUUACUGGGUGUAAAGGGUUCGUAGGCGGUGCGGCAAGUUGGGAGUGAAAUCUCUGGGCUUAACCCAGAGGCUGCUUCCAAAACUGCUGUGCUUGAGUGUGGGAGAGGCGCGUGGAAUUGCAGGUGUAGCGGUGAAAUGCGUAGAUAUCUGCAGGAACACCCGUGGCGAAGGCGGCGCGCUGGACCACUACUGACGCUGAGACGCGAAAGCGUGGGGAGCGAACAGG
This 253-nucleotide ribosomal RNA is filed under the name uncultured bacterium. Its description in RNAcentral is "partial 16S ribosomal RNA". It matches the Rfam family "Bacterial small subunit ribosomal RNA", at positions 524 to 776 of the family's 1533-position model. The record is from RNAcentral.